Molecule: ribosomal RNA, 402 nt
Filed under: uncultured bacterium
Lineage: Bacteria
Description: bacterial SSU rRNA
Rfam family: Bacterial small subunit ribosomal RNA
Source: RNAcentral
UCGGGAAUUUUGGGCAAUGGGCGAAAGCCUGACCCAGCAACGCCGCGUGAGGGAUGAAGUAUUUCGGUAUGUAAACCUCGAAAGAAUGGGAAGAAUAAAUGACGGUACCAUUUAUAAGCUCCGGCUAACUACGUGCCAGCAGCCGCGGUAAUACGUAGGGAGCAAGCGUUGUUCGGAUUUACUGGGCGUAAAGGGCGCGUAGGCGGCGCGGUAAGUCACUUGUGAAAUCUCUGAGCUUAACUCAGAACGGCCAAGUGAUACUGCUGUGCUAGAGUGCGGAAGAUGCAACCGGAAUUCUUGGUGUAGCGGUGAAAUGCGUAGAUAUCAAGAGGAACACCUGAGGCGAAGGCGGGUUGCUGGGCCGACACUGACGCUGAUGCGCGAAAGCCAGGGGAGCAAACG